Long non-coding RNA from Zingiber officinale, 183 nucleotides. RefSeq lists it as uncharacterized. The transcript is spliced from 2 exons. The record is from RefSeq and is a predicted model, not a curated record. NCBI's taxonomy places the organism in Eukaryota, Viridiplantae, Streptophyta, Magnoliopsida, Zingiberales, Zingiberaceae.
GGUACAGACUAUGGUUGUAUGGUUCAAACAUUAAUCCAGAAAACUCAUUCUACUGAUGAACUGACUCGGGUGAGAGCUAUCACAUGGAUAAAUGAGUUUGUGAAACUUGGUGUGGAGAAACUUGAGCCUUACUAUGCUGAAAUUCUAGGCGUCAUAUCCCCUUACAUGUCUGACGAGAAAGAA